CUUCCUUCCGUAGGUGAACCUGCGGAAGGAUCAUUA
RNAcentral lists this ribosomal RNA (36 nucleotides) under Candida albicans. Its description in RNAcentral is "partial 18S ribosomal RNA". Lineage: Eukaryota; Fungi; Ascomycota; Pichiomycetes; Serinales; Debaryomycetaceae. The record is from RNAcentral.